GUAUUGAGGGCUUCACUCAUUCACUUGAGUAAACUAGAGGGACCGCUGUCUACUUCUUAAACCAGAGGAAGGUUGCGGCAAUAACAGGUCUGUGAUGCCCUUAGAUGUUCCGGGCUGCACACGUGCUACAAUGAUUGUGGCAGUGAGCAUCUAUGAGAUUUACUUACAUGAGUUCGUGAAGUGUGCUUCGGCUCACGGAUCGACUCUAAAAGCCUGCUUUGAGAGCAAGUGGGUAAUCAAUUAGAAGUAACGAUUUCUUCGCAUUAGCACACUUAUAUACGGCGUUUAUGCCCGGGUCUCACUUGUUGAGGCCUCUGCGUGCGUAGAUGUUGUUGGGUUUUACGACUCGCAUUUACCGUAUGUGCAAUUGUCAAUUCAUGGUGGGGACAGACCAUUGUUAAUUGUUGGUCUCGGUCUUAACUAGGAAUGCCUUGUACGAGUCUUUGGUUCAACAGACCACUCGGAAUAUGUCCCUGCCCUUUGUACACACCGCCCGUCGCUCUUACCGAUGGACUUCUCUGUGAGUUUGA
RNAcentral lists this ribosomal RNA (530 nucleotides) under Tenuitellita iota. RNAcentral's name for it is "Tenuitella iota partial small subunit ribosomal RNA". It matches the Rfam family "Eukaryotic small subunit ribosomal RNA", at positions 1378 to 1710 of the family's 1831-position model. The record is from RNAcentral. Lineage: Eukaryota; Foraminifera; Rotaliida; Candeinidae.